Molecule: Y RNA, 102 nt
Filed under: Carlito syrichta (Philippine tarsier)
Lineage: Eukaryota; Metazoa; Chordata; Mammalia; Primates; Tarsiidae
Description: Y RNA (ENSTSYG00000031947.1)
Rfam family: Y RNA
About the family: Y RNAs are components of the Ro ribonucleoprotein particle (Ro RNP), in association with Ro60 and La proteins.
Source: Rfam by way of RNAcentral
GGCUGGUCCAAGGGCAGUGGUAUUUACAACUAAUUGAUCACAACCAGCUACAGAUUUUUUUGUUCCUUCUCCACCCUUACUGUUUCACUUGACUAGCCAUAA